UUUUCGCACUCUGGAGAGCGGCAGUAGCCGUCUGCAUCGUUUAUAGCGGUGCGGAUUCCGGCAAGCUGCCCACCGAAGGGGCGCGCGUUUCACCGUAGCGAUCACGGCUUCACAUCGCACGGCAGCGCAAUCUCUCAGGUAUCGAGGACAGAGGGGUCAUG
Molecule: non-coding RNA, 161 nt
Filed under: Paraburkholderia fungorum
Lineage: Bacteria; Pseudomonadati; Pseudomonadota; Betaproteobacteria; Burkholderiales; Burkholderiaceae
Description: Burkholderia fungorum Glycine sequence
Rfam family: Glycine riboswitch aptamer
About the family: This family represents the bacterial glycine riboswitch. Glycine riboswitches usually consist of two metabolite-binding aptamers domains with similar structures in tandem. The aptamers cooperatively bind glycine to regulate the expression of downstream genes.
Source: RNAcentral